RNAcentral lists this ribosomal RNA (456 nucleotides) under uncultured bacterium. RNAcentral's name for it is "partial 16S ribosomal RNA". It matches the Rfam family "Bacterial small subunit ribosomal RNA", at positions 338 to 795 of the family's 1533-position model. The record is from RNAcentral.
CCUACGGGAGGCUGCAGUGGGAAUAUUGCACAAUGGGGGAAACCCUGAUGCAGCGACGCCGCGUGAGUGAAGAAGUAUUUCGGUACGUAAAGCUCUAUCAGCAGGGAAGAAAAAAAGUCCUUUGGACUUUGGACGGUACCUGACCAAGAAGCCCCGGCUAACUACGUGCCAGCAGCCGCGGUAAUACGGAGGGGGCAAGCGUUAUCCGGAUUUACUGGGUGUAAAGGGAGCGUAGACGGCAGCGCAAGUCUGGAGUGAAAUGCCGGGGCCCAACCCCGGAACUGCCUUGGAAACUGUGCAGCUGGAGUGCAGGAGAGGUAAGCGGAAUUCCUAGUGUAGCGGUGAAAUGCGUAGAUAUUAGGAGGAACACCAGUGGCGAAGGCGGCUUACUGGACUGUAACUGACGUUGAGGCUCGAAAGCGUGGGGAGCAAACAGGAUUAGAUACCCGGGUAGUC